Molecule: ribosomal RNA, 468 nt
Filed under: uncultured bacterium
Lineage: Bacteria
Description: partial 16S ribosomal RNA
Rfam family: Bacterial small subunit ribosomal RNA
Source: RNAcentral
GACGAACGCUGGCGGCGUGCUUAACACAUGCAAGUCGAACGGUGAUGCUCCAGCUUGCUGGAGUGGAUCAGUGGCGAACGGGUGAGUAACACGUGAGCAACCUGCCCCAGACUCUGGAAUAAGCUCUGGAAACGGCGUCUAAUACUGGAUACGAAACUGGCCCGCAUGGGCAUGGUUUGGAAAGUUUUUCGGUUUGGGAUGGGCUCGCGGCCUAUCAGCUUGUUGGUGAGGUAAUGGCUUACCAAGGCGACGACGGGUAGCCGGCCUGAGAGGGCGACCGGCCACAAUGGGACUGAGACACGGCCCAGACUCCUACGGGAGGCAGCAGUGGGGAAUAUUGCACAAUGGGCGAAAGCCUGAUGCAGCGACGCCGCGUGAGGGAUGACGGCCUUCGGGUUGUAAACCUCUUUCAGCAGGGAAGAAGCGAAAGUGACGGUACCUGCAGAAGAAGCACCGGCUAACUACGUG